GACGAACGCUGGCGGCGUGCUUAACACAUGCAAGUCGAACGCUGAAGCACCUUCGGGUGUGGAUGAGUGGCGAACGGGUGAGUAACACGUGGGUAAUCUGCCCUGCACUCUGGGAUAAGCCUUGGAAACGGGGUCUAAUACCGGAUAUCACAACUUCAGGCAUCUGGGGUUGUUGAAAGUUCUGGCGGUGCAGGAUGAACCCGCGGCCUAUCAGCUUGUUGGUGGGGUAAUGGCCUACCAAGGCGACGACGGGUAGCCGGCCUGAGAGGGUGACCGGCCACACUGGGACUGAGACACGGCCCAGACUCCUACGGGAGGCAGCAGUGGGGAAUAUUGCACAAUGGGCGCAAGCCUGAUGCAGCGACGCCGCGUGAGGGAUGACGGCCUUCGGGUUGUAAACCUCUUUCGCCAGGGACGAAGCGCAAGUGACGGUACCUGGAUAAGAAGCACCGGCUAACUACGUGCCAGCCGCCGCCGUAAGAC
This 483-nucleotide ribosomal RNA is filed under the name uncultured bacterium. RNAcentral describes it as "bacterial SSU rRNA". It matches the Rfam family "Bacterial small subunit ribosomal RNA", at positions 28 to 526 of the family's 1533-position model. The record is from RNAcentral.